CCUACGGGGGGCAGCAGUGAGGAAUAUUGGUCAAUGGGCGGAAGCCUGAACCAGCCAAGUCGCGUGAGGGAAUAAGGCCCUACGGGUCGUAAACCUCUUUUGCCGGGGAGCAAGGGCGGGGACGUGUCCCGGCCCGGAGAGUACCCGGAGAAAAAGCAUCGGCUAACUCCGUGCCAGCAGCCGCGGUAAUACGGGGGAUGCAAGCGUUAUCCGGAUUUAUUGGGUUUAAAGGGUGCGUAGGCUGUGAGGUAAGUCAGCGGUGAAAUGCCCCCGCUCAACGGGGUGAAGUGCCAUUGAUACUGCCUUGCUGGAAUGCGGAUGCCGUGGGAGGAAUGUGUGGUGUAGCGGUGAAAUGCAUAGAUAUCACACAGAACACCGAUUGCGAAGGCAUCAUACCGGUGCACAACUGACGCUCAGGCACGAAAGCGUGGGUAUCGAACAGGAUUAGAUACCCGAGUAGUC
Molecule: ribosomal RNA, 462 nt
Filed under: uncultured bacterium
Lineage: Bacteria
Description: partial 16S ribosomal RNA
Rfam family: Bacterial small subunit ribosomal RNA
Source: RNAcentral